Molecule: ribosomal RNA, 208 nt
Filed under: Clostridioides difficile
Lineage: Bacteria; Bacillati; Bacillota; Clostridia; Peptostreptococcales; Peptostreptococcaceae
Description: partial 23S ribosomal RNA
Rfam family: Bacterial large subunit ribosomal RNA
Source: RNAcentral
GGUGCCACCAUCAGGUGGCCGCAGAGAAUAGGCCCAAGCGACUGUUUACCAAAAACAUAGGUUUCUGCUAAGUCGCAAGAUGAUGUAUAGGAGCUGACGCCUGCCCGGUGCUGGAAGGUUAAGGGGAGCUGUUAGAGCAAUCGAAGCAGUGAACUUAAGCCCCAGUAAACGGCGGCCGUAACUAUAACGGUCCUAAGGUAGCGAAAUU